UUAGCGGCGGACGGGUGAGUAACACGUGGGUAACCUGCCUGUAAGACUGGGAUAACAUUCGGAAACGAAUGCUAAUACCGGAUACGCGGCUUGGUCGCAUGACCGAGCCGGGAAAGAUGGAGCAAUCUAUCACUUAUAGAUGGACCCGCGGCGCAUUAGCUAGUUGGUGAGGUAACGGCUCACCAAGGCGACGAUGCGUAGCCGACCUGAGAGGGUGAUCGGCCACACUGGGACUGAGACACGGCCCAGACUCCUACGGGAGGCAGCAGUAGGGAAUCUUCCGCAAUGGACGAAAGUCUGACGGAGCAACGCCGCGUGAGUGAUGAAGGUUUUCGGAUCGUAAAGCUCUGUUGCCAGGGAAGAAUGCUUGGGAGAGUAACUGCUCUCAAGGUGACGGUAC
RNAcentral lists this ribosomal RNA (400 nucleotides) under Paenibacillaceae bacterium CL5.1. Its description in RNAcentral is "bacterial SSU rRNA". It matches the Rfam family "Bacterial small subunit ribosomal RNA", at positions 92 to 478 of the family's 1533-position model. The record is from RNAcentral. Lineage: Bacteria; Bacillati; Bacillota; Bacilli; Caryophanales; Paenibacillaceae.